Molecule: ribosomal RNA, 253 nt
Filed under: uncultured bacterium
Lineage: Bacteria
Description: partial 16S ribosomal RNA
Rfam family: Bacterial small subunit ribosomal RNA
Source: RNAcentral
UACGUAGGGGGCAAGCGUUGUCCGGAUUUAUUGGGCGUAAAGAGCGUGUAGGCGGCUAGAUAGGUCCGUUGUGAAAACUCGAGGCUCAACCUCGAGACGCCGGUGGAAACCAUCUAGCUAGAGUCCGGAAGAGGAGAGUGGAAUUCCCGGUGUAGCGGUGAAAUGCGCAGAUAUCGGGAAGAACACCCGUGGCGAAGGCGGCUCUCUGGGACGGUACUGACGCUGAGACGCGAAAGCGUGGGGAGCGAACAGG